AAGGAGAGUGGUGCUUCAGUGGAAAGAGACAGAGAGAGCUGAAGAGAAGAAAUAUUAGAGAGAGAACUGGGUUUUUCAUGCACUGAAUGUAAAAAUGGAUCAAGCUUGAAAGAGAAGAAAAGGGCGAGAGCAAGCUUCACCAUAGUCAAAGCCCAAAAGCUUCAACAUUGUCAAACUCCAUGGACGCCAGCGAGAGCUCAAUUGAAAGUGGGAAGUCGAGAGCUCACCUUUGAAGAUCAGUGAGCAGAAGCAGCCAUUGAAGACUUGCCGGAGCUUUUCCGGUGAAGACAGACAGAACAGUUUCAGCGCCUAAACAGAACGGAGAAACUGACCCAUUUCCGGUGUGCUUAAGUUCAGUCCUGCGAAUCUUCAAGCUACAAGACUGAGUUCAGGACCUGCAUACCUUCACCGACGACAACUGAGAGCUCACGACCAGCAUACUUUCACCUGUGAUAGACCCAGAAGCUUCAUCCAUUUCUUCCACCGGUGAUAGAAUUACGAGUUCAGGACCUGCAUACUUUCCCCGGUGACAAAAUCGUGAGCUCACGACCAGCACACUUUUACCGGUGAUAGACCCAGAAGCUUCAUCCAUGUUUUCCACCAGUGAUAGAACCAGAAUCGUCAUCUUUAUUUCGACCAGUGAUAGACCCAAUUGAGAAGCUCCAUUUGAAGACCCUAAACCGGUGUGUUGUUGUUUAGCUCUGUUCAGUCAAAAUUCAGUUGGUCCAAAUUUCAGGUGUAUGCUAGGGUUCCAAUGUUGGGUUGAUUAUUGAGCCGAAAUGAAGGUCCAGCCUUUGACCGUCUGCAUAUCAUUGAAGAACUGAGCUGUUGAAUAUAUCUCAGUCCAUGGUGAUUCAAUUGGGGCACUUACAUUGUUCAUCUAUUGUUCAACCAAGAGAGCUUCUAAAGGAGUAUCAGUGAGCUUCACUUUUACAUAUAUUCAAUUGACUGUGAGCUCUCUUUGGAUAUCAAGCCAUACAAACCACUGAACAUUAUCAAUAUCUUAACAGUGAGCCACAUUGGAGUCAUGGGUUUACACUAAGCAUCACUGAAGAGUGACUCAAUCAAAGAGCUUCCAGUGAGCUAGAGAAGAACACUCGAAGAAGAAUAACUAAUCACAAGGGCUACAUCAAUGUGGGCUUGGGUCUCAUUUGCUAUACCAUUCAAAUCAUAGAGCAAACGGGGUGCAACCUAAUGGAGCCAUGGUGAUCGACUUCAAGCUUGGAAAGAGGGUGAACCACAUUCAGAUCAUCUUUCUCGACCUUCAAGUUUGAAGUAAGGUAAUUGUUGGCUAGGGUGUGUACUAGCUUCGAGAGAGAUCCGAUUCGUGAGGUUGUCCUCGCUGUUAGGUGAUCACUGAUCUCUUGCUUCGAACCAGUCCCACAGUUGCCGAUUGUUGCCGGUUUCUUCAUCGAUGGCCGUCUGCGUUGCUAUUACCAGUGUCGAUUGGUUGUGUAGUCGCCAUUUACGAUUGCUUUUAUGGUCGGCUUCUUCGUUUGGGGCUUACUAUGUUCAUGAGCUGGUCCUUUGGUAUCACCAAGAGGUCACUGUAGUCUUGCUGUCAUUGAGCUGUAGUUUGGGACUGAAGGUGAAAAAUGUUAUUAGAAGUUCAAGUCUCAAGGUUGAGUAUCCGCAGUUGGAGGACUUAUCCAUUCUUUCGGUUUAUUUAAAAGGGGUAUCACAAAGAAGAAGAGGGGUGAUUAGCUACGGGAUUUGGGGUGUUUGGCCAUUGAAGUUGGGUUAGUCCAGACUGGUUGUCCCCUAACCCAGUUUUGCAGAGACCCGAUUACAGAUUCGACCCGAUUUGAGAUCCGGUUGGAGGUUCUACCCGAAUCCUUUUCUGAUCCGGGUCUGGUUCGACCUCGUUUCUCCUUAUUUGGGUCUGUUCUGUUCUGCUUUCUUUCUUCCUGUAGUGUUCGGUUCUUCUUCUGUUCCCGAUUCGAUUAUGUUCUAGCCUUCUCUGGUGUAACAGUUUUUUUUUUUUUUGUUUCUCUUCAGUUCUUUUCGGGACAGAUUUGGCAUCAGUGUGACUUUAAAUUGGGACAAAUAAGUUUUUUUCAGUUUACAUAGACAUUUGCUUUGUUUUAGCAGUUGCUUCUAUUUUUGUGGCAUUAAAUCCAUGUCGGAAACUUCAACUGUUGCUUCUCAGUCGACUGGAAUUAAAUCUCCUGCAACACAUGUUGAUCAUGUCGGGUUGCAAAUUGCAACUGUGAAAUUAAGUAAUUCCAAUUACUUACUAUGAGCCUAAGCAGUGAAAAUCUCUUUAGGCGCUCGACGAAAGCUGAAGUUUAUUACAGAUGACUCUCCAAUAAAUACAUCAAUAGCGUAUGAGGACUGGGAAACUGAUAACUACUUGGUUAUGUCCUGGUUGUGGAACAGUAUGGAUCCUUGCAUUACAUUCACUUUUAUGUUUACAAACACUGCAAAGGGAAUAUAUGGGGAUGCAGUUAAAGAAACCUACUCUAUGGACACCAAUGUUUCUCGCAUAUAUUCACUGUAUGAGAAGAUGUUUUGUUCUAGUCAA
Cornus florida is the source of this 2524-nucleotide long non-coding RNA. RefSeq lists it as uncharacterized. NCBI's taxonomy places the organism in Eukaryota, Viridiplantae, Streptophyta, Magnoliopsida, Cornales, Cornaceae. The transcript has 4 exons. The record is from RefSeq and is a predicted model, not a curated record.